This is a long non-coding RNA of Lycium barbarum (goji berry), 940 nucleotides long. RefSeq lists it as uncharacterized. NCBI's taxonomy places the organism in Eukaryota, Viridiplantae, Streptophyta, Magnoliopsida, Solanales, Solanaceae. The transcript has 3 exons. The record is from RefSeq and is a predicted model, not a curated record.
UUAUCUUUUACCACAAUUUUUUGCAAAUUCCUUUGGAAAAAAACCCCAAAAACAUAGAACACUACCUUUCCUCGCUCGACGCAACGAUUCAAGUUUCCCUCCUCAGUUAUCUAUCCAAAUAUGGCACUUCAUCGGUGCGUCACGAUUUCCAGUUAGAAUUGGAAUCAGCACGGAAUUAGAAGACCUACACGUACAUUCAACUCCACAAUUAAACCUCUUCCAAGUUUAAUUGAUAGAUACACAUAUUGGAGGCUCUGGUGGGGUUGCAAAUUUGACCGUUUAUUGCUUCGUGUUGUGUCCCAACUGUUAUCAACACGUUAUUGGAGGAUUGAUUCCAAGUGGUGUUUUAAAUUCUGAAGAAGGAAGUUACUUCUGACAACGAUAGAGUGUUCGAUGAAAUGGCCCAUAGGGAAACCUUUCGCACUGCUCCAGAAAAUGUCGCCAGUGAUGCUGCGAAAGUGUAUCUUCAGAAGCUAUGACUUCUUUCGUUAUAUUUGGAGGACGAAAAAUUUUGCCCCAUUCGUUUCAAGAAUCGAAUGUGGUUUUUUGAAUUUUUGUUGUCUUUUAGUUUUACAAUAAGUUAUGUAUCCUGUUUUAUGGUGCGUGAUUGAUGGAUGGACUCUCAUUUUUAUGGUUACUAAUUAUUUAUUGGUAAUAUUACUUCUUAUUUGAAGAAGCAUAUGUGUUCUUACUGGGUGGUUUUCAAAGUCCUUAUUAUUUAUGUCAUGGCAUUUGAUUUUGAUGGUGUUGUCGGAUGUUUGAUUAGGAACAUGAAAGGAAGAUGGAGCAAAUUGGCUACAACUUUCAUCAAAGUAGUAAGGCACCAAAAAAAAGGGACGAAUGUUUGGCGGAUUAUUGCAGACCAUUUGUCCAUCAACGGCACCAAUGGAUUGGAAGAGGCUACACGAACUCACAGGAAAGAUACUACCUGCAAGGUUAG